AUUGAACGCUGGCGGCAGGCCUAACACAUGCAAGUCGAGCGGCAGCGAGACCUUCGGGUUGCCGGCGAGCGGCGGACGGGUGAGUAAUGCCUAGGAAUCUGCCUGUUAGUGGGGGAUAACGCGGGCAAACUCGCGCUAAUACCGCAUACGUCCUACGGGAGAAAGCGGGGGCUCUUCGGACCUCGCGCUAACAGAUGAGCCUAGGUCGGAUUAGCUAGUUGGUGGGGUAAUGGCUCACCAAGGCGACGAUCCGUAACUGGUCUGAGAGGAUGAUCAGUCACACUGGAACUGAGACACGGUCCAGACUCCUACGGGAGGCAGCAGUGGGGAAUAUUGGACAAUGGGCGAAAGCCUGAUCCAGCCAUGCCGCGUGUGUGAAGAAGGUCUUCGGAUUGUAAAGCACUUUAAGUCGGGAGGAAGGGCUGUAGGUUAAUACCCUGCAGUUUUGACGUUACCGACAGAAUAAGCACCGGCUAACUUCGUGCCAGCCGCCGCGGUAA
RNAcentral lists this ribosomal RNA (500 nucleotides) under uncultured bacterium. RNAcentral describes it as "partial 16S ribosomal RNA". It matches the Rfam family "Bacterial small subunit ribosomal RNA", at positions 30 to 523 of the family's 1533-position model. The record is from RNAcentral.